AUUGAACGCUGGCGGCAGGCCUAACACAUGCAAGUCGAACGGUAACAGGAAGCAGCUUGCUGCUUCGCUGACGAGUGGCGGACGGGUGAGUAAUGUCUGGGAAGCUGCCUGAUGGAGGGGGAUAACUACUGGAAACGGUAGCUAAUACCGCAUAAUGUCGCAAGACCAAAGAGGGGGACCUUCGGGCCUCUUGCCCUCGGAUGUGCCCAGAUGGGAUUAGCUUGUUGGUGGGGUAACGGCUCACCAAGGCGACGAUCCCUAGCUGGUCUGAGAGGAUGACCAGCCACACUGGAACUGAGACACGGUCCAGACUCCUACGGGAGGCAGCAGUGGGGAAUAUUGCACAAUGGGCGCAAGCCUGAUGCAGCCAUGCCGCGUGUAUGAAGAAGGCCUUCGGGUUGUAAAGUACUUUCAGCGGGGAGGAAGGGAGUAAAGUUAAUACCUUUGCUCAUUGACGUUACCCGAAGAAGAAGCACCGGCUAACUCCGUG
Molecule: ribosomal RNA, 490 nt
Filed under: uncultured bacterium
Lineage: Bacteria
Description: partial 16S ribosomal RNA
Rfam family: Bacterial small subunit ribosomal RNA
Source: RNAcentral